Molecule: small nucleolar RNA, 107 nt
Filed under: Gossypium hirsutum (cotton)
Lineage: Eukaryota; Viridiplantae; Streptophyta; Magnoliopsida; Malvales; Malvaceae
Description: Plant small nucleolar RNA R71
Rfam family: Plant small nucleolar RNA R71
About the family: R71 is a member of the C/D box family of snoRNAs containing the C (UGAUGA) and D (CUGA) box motifs. Multiple nearly identical copies of this snoRNA have been identified in Arabidopsis, and it is thought to function as a 2'-O-ribose methylation guide for 18S ribosomal RNA.
Source: Rfam by way of RNAcentral
AACACAUGGUGAGGGCACCUUAUCAAUAAAUCCUUAUACCUCUCCCAUGCAUCAUAUAAGGUUUCUAAGUCGAUUUGAAUGAAGGAAAAGAUAUCAUUCCUCAACUU